Non-coding RNA from Caenorhabditis elegans, 21 nucleotides. The record is from Ensembl. Lineage: Eukaryota; Metazoa; Nematoda; Chromadorea; Rhabditida; Rhabditidae.
UGUGCUUCUUUCGAAUGAUAA